AGUGAACGCUGGCGGUAGGCCUAACACAUGCAAGUCGAACGGCAGCACAGUAAGAGCUUGCUCUUACGGGUGGCGAGUGGCGGACGGGUGAGGAAUACAUCGGAAUCUACUUUUUCGUGGGGGGUAACGUAGGGAAACUUACGCUAAUACCGCAUACGACCUACGGGUGAAAGCAGGGGAUCUUCGGACCUUGCGCGAUUGAACGAGCCGAUGUCGGAUUAGCUAGUUGGCGGGGUAAAGGCCCACCAAGGCGACGAUCCGUAGCUGGUCUGAGAGGAUGAUCAGCCACACUGGAACUGAGACACGGUCCAGACUCCUACGGGAGGCAGCAGUGGGGAAUAUUGGACAAUGGGCGCAAGCCUGAUCCAGCCAUACCGCGUGGGUGAAGAAGGCCUUCGGGUUGUAAAGCCCUUUUGUUGGGAAAGAAAAGCAGCAGGUUAAUACCCCGCUGUUCUGACGGUACCCAAAGAAUAAGCACCGGCUAACUUCGUG
This 492-nucleotide ribosomal RNA is filed under the name uncultured bacterium. RNAcentral's name for it is "partial 16S ribosomal RNA". It matches the Rfam family "Bacterial small subunit ribosomal RNA", at positions 29 to 507 of the family's 1533-position model. The record is from RNAcentral.